This 77-nucleotide transfer RNA is filed under the name Ruminococcus sp. RNAcentral describes it as "tRNA-Ile". It matches the Rfam family "tRNA". From Rfam's summary of the family: Transfer RNA (tRNA) molecules are approximately 80 nucleotides in length. Their secondary structure includes four short double-helical elements and three loops (D, anti-codon, and T loops). The record is from RNAcentral. Lineage: Bacteria; Bacillati; Bacillota; Clostridia; Eubacteriales; Oscillospiraceae.
UGGCAGAAUAGCUCAGUGGGAAGAGCAUCAGUCUUAUAAACUGAAAGUCACAGGUUCAAGUCCUGUUUCUGCAACCA